CGCGUGCGCGAUGGGGCCACCGAGCGCUGACAGGGGCGGAGCUGCGAACCCAAGCAGGGUUGGCACCUUCGUGGCGGCGACGCGCGGCGGCGCGGCAGCUGGACAUCCCCCGCGGGCAGGGCACAUGUUCCUGGACCAGAUGAAGCUUGAGGAGCCUUCCAGCUGUAAGAUCUCAGGAUAGGAGAACUCCCAAGUCUCCAUCUGCAGGAGGCUUGCCCUGCCUCUUCACCAUGUCAGGAAGCCACAUACCUUCUGCCAGUGGCCCAUUCUCAGCCCUGACUCCCAGCAUGUGGCCCCAGGAGAUCCUGGCCAAGUACACACAGAAGGAAGAGGCAGUGGAGCAGCCAGGCAUCUGCUAUGAUGAGUUCGGUUUCCGCAUGGACAAGGAAGACGGCGACCCCCGGCCGGGCCGGCUGCUGGACGACCCCCCGCAGAGGCUGCGCUGGCAGGCCCACCUCGAGUUCACGCACAACCACGACGUGGGCGACCUCACCUGGGACAAGAUUGCCGUCUCCCUGCCCCGCUCCGAGAAGCUCCGCGCCCUGGUGCUGGCCGGCGUCCCCCACAGCAUGAGGCCGCAGCUGUGGAUGCGGCUCUCGGGGGCCCUGCAGAAGAAGCGGAGCUCCGAGCUGACCUACCGCGAGCUCGUGAAGAACAGCUCCAACGACGACACCAUGGCUGCCAAGCAGAUCGAGAAGGACCUGCUCCGCACCAUGCCCAGCAACGCCUGCUUCGCCAGCGAGAGCAGCGUCGGGGUCCCGCGCCUGCGCAGGGUGCUCCGAGCGCUGGCCUGGCUCUACCCGGAGAUCGGCUACUGCCAGGGCACCGGCAUGGUGGCUGCCUGCCUCCUGCUGUUCCUGGAGGAGGAAGACGCCUUCUGGAUGAUGUGUGCCAUCAUCGAGGACCUGCUCCCUGCCUCCUACUUCAGCACCACCCUGCUGGGUGUCCAGACAGACCAGCGGGUCCUGCGCCACCUCAUCGUCCAGUACCUGCCUCGCUUGGACAAGCUGCUGCAGGAGCAUGACAUCGAGCUGUCCCUCAUCACGCUGCACUGGUUCCUCACGGCCUUCGCCAGCGUGGUGCACAUUAAGCUGCUGCUGCGCCUCUGGGACCUGUUUUUCUACGAGGGCUCCCUGGUGCUGUUCCAGACCACGCUGGGCAUGCUGCGCCUCAAGGAGGAGGAGCUGAUCCAGUCGGAGAACUCGGCCUCCAUCUUCAACACGCUGUCAGACAUCCCUUCGCAGAUGGAGGACGCGGACCUGCUGCUGGGCGAGGCCAUGCGGCUGGCCGGCUCCCUCACCGACGUGGCCGUGGAGACCCAGCGCCGCAAGCACCUGGCCUACCUCAUAGCGGACCAGGGCCAGCUCCUGGGCACCAGCACCACCACCAACCUCUCCCAGGUUGUCCGACGCAGAACCCAGCGCAGGAAGUCUGGCAUCAGCUCGCUGCUGUUUGGGGAGGAUGACCUGGAGGCGCUCAAGGCCAAGAACAUCAAGCAGACGGAACUGGUGGCCGACCUCCGGGAAGCCAUCCUGCGUGUGGCACGUCACUUCCAGUGCACAGACCCCAAGAACUGCAGUGUGGAGCUGACCCCAGACUACAGCAUGGAGAGCCACCAGCGGGACCACGAGAACUACGUGGCGUGCUCGCGCAGUCACCCGCGCCGGGCCAAGGCCUUGCUGGACUUCGAGCGCCACGACGAUGACGAGCUGGGCUUCCGCAAAAACGACAUCAUCACGAUCAUCUCCCAGAAGGACGAGCACUGCUGGGUCGGGGAGCUGAACGGCCUGAGAGGCUGGUUUCCAGCCAAGUUCGUAGAGGUCCUGGAUGAGCGGAGCAAGGAGUAUUCCAUUGCCGGGGACGAUGCUGUGACAGAGGGGGUCACAGACCUUGUGCGAGGGACCCUCUGCCCGGCCCUUAAGGCCCUGUUUGAACACGGGCUGAAGAAGCCUUCCCUGCUCGGGGGCGCCUGCCACCCCUGGCUCUUUAUCGAGGAGGGUCGCCAGGCAGCCUCGGUUGGGGGUGGCGGAGUGGCCCGAACCCACCAGACAGUGUUGGCAGCUUCCGUGCCCCCCCCCCUGCCUCCAGGUUGGAUGAAGACGGCAAAGUCCUCACCCCGGAGGAGCUGCUCUACCGGGCUGUGCAGUCGGUCAACGUGACCCAUGAUGCUGCACACGCACAAAUGGACGUCAAGCUCCGCUCUCUCAUCUGCGUGGGUCUCAACGAGCAGGUGCUGCACCUGUGGCUGGAGGUGCUCUGUUCCAGCCUGGCGACUGUGGAGAAGUGGUACCAGCCCUGGUCCUUCCUGCGCAGCCCCGGUUGGGUCCAGAUCAAGUGCGAGCUGCGCGUCCUCUGCUGCUUUGCCUUCAGCCUCUCCCAGGACUGGGAGCUUCCUGCCAGGAGAGAGGAGGAGAAGAAGCCCCUGAAGGAGGGUGUCCAGGACAUGCUGGUGAAGCACCACCUCUUCAGCUGGGACAUAGACGGGUGACGCUCUUCCUCCGGGGACCCCCAUCACACCCAGGCCUCCUCCAACCCCUUGGCUACUGGCGCCCCUUCCCCAAGCGAGAUGAGAACAGCCGGGCCCUGGCCAGUCUCCGGCCCAUUUUGGGGUGGGGUCUGAGGUGGCCCAGGCGCCCCCCUCCCCCCAGCUGCAGGGUCAAAGGGAGGACGAGCUCGGGGAGCCCUGGCUGGACUCCAUGGUGGGAGUCUGGGGACACGGCCCUGGGCACCCAGUGCUGUUGGGCGGCGGGAGCAGGUGGGGGCGGGCUCGGCCCUGGGCCAUUGCUCACUGUGCCCAAUGAAAACCUUGGGGUGGUGGAGCCCCCUCUCUGUUCUGUCAGUUCUGCUCAGGAAGGGGAUAGGCGGGUAAAGGCUCCCUGGCCUCUUUGAUUUAUAAAUAAACUGUCUUUGAGAAAGCAGCUGUCUUCUGUUCAGCCAGGGCUGCAGCGCUGCAUGCCCAAGGUUCCACUCUUCCCAGAGUGAUCCAGAAUGCCCUA
Non-coding RNA from Sus scrofa (pig), 2996 nucleotides. Lineage: Eukaryota; Metazoa; Chordata; Mammalia; Artiodactyla; Suidae. The record is from RefSeq and is a predicted model, not a curated record.